AGAGUUUGAUCCUGGCUCAGAACGAACGUAGCGGCGCGCUUAACACAUGCAAGUCGUGCGAGAAAGGGGCAACCCCGGUAAAGCGGCGCACGGGUGAGUAACACGUAGGUAAUCUACCCCCAGGUGGUGGAUAACCUUCCGAAAGGAGGGCUAAUACAGCAUGAGACCACAGGCCCGCGAGGGCUCGAGGUCAAAGCCGG
This 200-nucleotide ribosomal RNA is filed under the name uncultured bacterium. RNAcentral's name for it is "partial 16S ribosomal RNA". It matches the Rfam family "Bacterial small subunit ribosomal RNA", at positions 8 to 210 of the family's 1533-position model. The record is from RNAcentral.